RNAcentral lists this ribosomal RNA (253 nucleotides) under uncultured bacterium. RNAcentral describes it as "partial 16S ribosomal RNA". It matches the Rfam family "Bacterial small subunit ribosomal RNA", at positions 524 to 776 of the family's 1533-position model. The record is from RNAcentral.
GACGGAGGGGGCAAGCGUUGCUCGGAAUCACUGGGCGUAAAGGGCGCGUAGGCGGGGAGGUAAGUCGGGUGUGAAAUCCCUCGGCCCAACCGACGAACUGCGCCCGAGACUGCUUCUCUUGAGUCCCGGAGAGGAAGAUGGAAUUCCCGGUGUAGCGGUGAAAUGUGUAGAGAUCGGGAGGAACACCGGUGGCGAAGGCGGCAUCCUGGACCGGUAUUGACGCUGAGGAGCGAAAGCCAGGGGAGCAAACGGG